AUUCGUUGGUGUUAGAUAUUUUUGUGCGAUUUUCAUCUGUCAAAAUUCACGAUUCAACCAAGUAGAAUGGAAACUAGAAUAGAGAAAAUAGUUUUUUCCACAGGUGAUAUUUAUUUUUUAUACUCGACCCGUACUCAAACGAUGAAUAUAUUAUUAAAUCUUUUGAAAAUUAUUAUUUUUGUACAAAAGAAAACGCGCACAUUUUCCCCCUGAAAUAUGUAUUUAAAUCUUGCACCGAAUAUAAACGUGCCAAUUUAAUAAAUCCUGCGAUGGCAUUUUUCCGUUUUCAA
Non-coding RNA from Cinara cedri, 290 nucleotides. The record is from the annotation of a GenBank genome assembly. NCBI's taxonomy places the organism in Eukaryota, Metazoa, Arthropoda, Insecta, Hemiptera, Aphididae.